RNAcentral lists this ribosomal RNA (465 nucleotides) under uncultured bacterium. Its description in RNAcentral is "partial 16S ribosomal RNA". It matches the Rfam family "Bacterial small subunit ribosomal RNA", at positions 338 to 795 of the family's 1533-position model. The record is from RNAcentral.
CCUACGGGGAGCAGCAGUGGGGAAUUUUGCGCAAUGCUCGUAAGAGUGACGCAGCGACGCCGCGUGAAUGACGAAGGCCUUCGGGUCGUAAAGUUCUUUCGACAGGGAAGAAAAUGCCUAUAAGUAACUGUGUAUGUAUUGACGGUACCUGUAUAAGCAGCCCCGGCUAACUCCGUGCCAGCAGCCGCGGUAAUACGGAGGGGGCGAGCGUUGUUCGGAGUGACUGGGCGUAAAGAGCACGAAGGCGGUGUUGUAAGUCAUUAGUCAAAGACUAGAGCUCAACUUUAGUAAGGCUAGUGAUACUAUAAUACGAGAGUAUCAGAGAGGAUUGCAGAAUUCCUGGUGGAGCGGUGAAAUGCGUAGAUAUCAGGAGGAAUACCGUUAGCGAAGGCGGCAAUCUGGCUGGAAACUGACGCUGAGGUGCGAAAGCGUGGGUAGCAAACAGGAUUAGAUACCCGGGUAGUC